AGGCGUCGACGGGUAGCCGGCCUGAGAGGGUGACCGGCCACACUGGGACUGAGACACGGCCCAGACUCSWAMGGGAGGCAGCAGUGGGGAAUAUUGCACAAUGGGCGGAAGCCUGAUGCAGCAACGCCGCGUGAGGGAUGACGGCCUUCGGGUUGUAAACCUCUUUUAGCAGGGAAGAAGCGAGAGUGACGGUACCUGCAGAAAAAGCGCCGGCUAACUACGUGCCAGCAGCCGCGGUAAUACGUAGGGCGCAAGCGUUAUCCGGAAUUAUUGGGCGUAAAGAGCUCGUAGGCGGUUUGUCGCGUCUGCUGUGAAAUCCCGAGGCUCAACCUCGGGCCUGCAGUGGGUACGGGCAGACUAGAGUGCGGUAGGGGAGAUUGGAAUUCCUGGUGUAGCGGUGGAAUGCGCAGAUAUCAGGAGGAACACCGAUGGCGAAGGCAGAUCUCUGGGCCGUAACUGACGCUGAGGAGCGAAAGGGUGGGGAGCAAACAGGCUUAGAUACCCUGGUAGUCCACCCCGUAAACGUUGGGAACUAGUUGUGGGGACCAUUCCACGGUUUCCGUGACGCAGCUAACGCAUUAAGUUCCCCGCCUGGGGAGUACGG
RNAcentral lists this ribosomal RNA (604 nucleotides) under Microbacterium sp. CMT59. RNAcentral describes it as "bacterial SSU rRNA". It matches the Rfam family "Bacterial small subunit ribosomal RNA", at positions 271 to 885 of the family's 1533-position model. The record is from RNAcentral. Lineage: Bacteria; Bacillati; Actinomycetota; Actinomycetes; Micrococcales; Microbacteriaceae.